Molecule: long non-coding RNA, 214 nt
Filed under: Elaeis guineensis (African oil palm)
Lineage: Eukaryota; Viridiplantae; Streptophyta; Magnoliopsida; Arecales; Arecaceae
Description: long non-coding RNA (EGUI_LNC001749)
Source: RNAcentral
CUGGCCUAUCACUUCUAACGAUGUUACCGGUGCGUUGAACUUAUAGCAGAGUAUAAAUGAGGGCUCAAGGAUAUCAUGUGACCGGCGUAUGGAUGACAGGGUGAAAAGAGGUGAGAUAUUUAGCUUUGGCCCUUUUUCGGCUAAGACUAGGCUUUCCAGUUGAGUGAAGUGUUUAUCUUGUAUUCCAACUUAUUUUCAUGCUUUAAUCCUGACU